AUGAAGUUAAGAUCGGAGCUUGACAUUAGCAAGGACAAAGAUAUCAAGACAAAGGAUUUGAGGAAUAAGCUCAAGGUGCUCGUCAAGGAUCCUAGCAAAGAUGACCUUGCUCUGAAAGUGUUCUUCAUUAUUGUGUUUAUGAAGGUUGUGUUGCCUGGAUCUGCCCCGCGUGUUUCCAGAGAGGCAGCAAUGUUUGAGGGUCUCGUCUUUGAGGACAUGGCUAAUAUGGAUUAUUGCCAGCUGAUGGUUGAUGAGCUUAGAAGGGCUGUUGCCAAGUACCAAAGUGGUCAUACCACGGGGAAGGCAAUCACAGGCUGUGCCAUAGGGCCUGUACUAAUGUACCUUGACUUCCUUAUCCGUGGCAAAACUGCGGAGCCUAACAUGUGA
RNAcentral lists this ribosomal RNA (387 nucleotides) under Triticum aestivum (bread wheat). RNAcentral's name for it is "partial small subunit ribosomal RNA". Lineage: Eukaryota; Viridiplantae; Streptophyta; Magnoliopsida; Poales; Poaceae. The record is from RNAcentral.